CACGUAGGGUGCGAGCGUUGUCCGGAAUUAUUGGGCGUAAAGAGCUCGUAGGCGGUGUGUCGCGUCGGCCGUGAAAACCUGCAGCUUAACCCUGAGCUUGCGGUCGAUACGGGCAUGACUGGAGUUCGGCAGGGGAGACUGGAAUUCCUGGUGUAGCGGUGAAAUGCGCAGAUAUCAGGAGGAACACCGGUGGCGAAGGCGGGGUCUCUGGGCCGAUACUGACGCUGAGGAGCGAAAGCGUGGGGAGCGAACAGG
RNAcentral lists this ribosomal RNA (255 nucleotides) under uncultured bacterium. RNAcentral's name for it is "partial 16S ribosomal RNA". It matches the Rfam family "Bacterial small subunit ribosomal RNA", at positions 524 to 776 of the family's 1533-position model. The record is from RNAcentral.